RNAcentral lists this ribosomal RNA (444 nucleotides) under uncultured bacterium. RNAcentral's name for it is "SSU rRNA". It matches the Rfam family "Bacterial small subunit ribosomal RNA", at positions 26 to 518 of the family's 1533-position model. The record is from RNAcentral.
AGAGCGAACGCUGGCGGCAGGCCUAACACAUGCAAGUCGAGCGCCCCGCAAGGGGAGCGGCAGACGGGAGAGUAACACGUGGGAACGUACCCUUCAGUUCGGAACAACCCAGGGAAACUUGGGCUAAUACCGAAUACGUCCGUAAGGAGAAAGAUUUAUCGCUGAAGGAUCGGCCCGCGUCUGAUUAGCUUGUUGGUGAGGUAACGGCUCACCAAGGCGACGAUCAGUAGCUGGUCUGAGAGGAUGAUCAGCCUCACUGGGACUGAGACACGGCCCAGACUCCUACGGGAGGCAGCAGUGGGGAAUAUUGGACAAUGGGCGCAAGCCUGAUCCAGCCAUGCCGCGUGGGUGAUGAAGGCCCUAGGGUUGUAAAGCCCUUUCGGCGGGGAAGAGUAAUGACGGUACCCGCAGAAGAAGCCCGGCUAACUUCGUGCCAGCAGCCGC